Long non-coding RNA from Polypterus senegalus (gray bichir), 734 nucleotides. RefSeq lists it as uncharacterized. The record is from RefSeq and is a predicted model, not a curated record. The transcript has 3 exons. NCBI's taxonomy places the organism in Eukaryota, Metazoa, Chordata, Cladistia, Polypteriformes, Polypteridae.
UGGUCAGGCUAUCGGCAAUGGCUGCUCGCCUCGCCUUUUAUUAAGAAAGUUCUGCAAGCCCAGCAAAUCCACCGUCUAUACUUGGGCACGGAAUUUUAUUCCUGGGCUCCAUAAAGCUAUCAAUUAUCCCGUUAGUAACCCUACGUCACCUUGGCUGCGUUUUAGCCGGUAUCGUUUGCAGUUGCAGGAGGUUUUCAAUUUGCGCGUCACUCGGGCUGCGAUGUACUUUUUAAUGUCCAGACCUGACAAAAACGGCAACGACAACGGUUAACUGGUCUCGGCGCUCAGCAUCACUCCGGGGGGAAAGUCUCGUUUGGCCGAACUGGUCCUUAACGCCAGCUGGGAGGCUUGUCACAGUGAAUUCAAGCGAUGCUGAAUAACCUUUUUAACAAAAAGAUAUAAAACACGGCGUUUUUUAUAAUAAUGAAUCGUGGAAUCCAGUAAACCGCGGAUCCAAGCCAGAGACAAGAGAAGAUUAUACAUGUGGGCACAAGACAGAGCAGAGCCAGACAUUCGGUGGCUGUCUAGGAUGCCAUCAUCCGACUCUUAGAAGGAAAUCCCACCUGGCCACACUCCCAGUUCCAGCCCUGACAGCACUUCCACUUCCAGUCCUCCUAACACCCUAUAAAGCCGACCUGUUGUUCCCUGUAUUUCAGUUCGGUUGUGGACCCCGUCUGUUAAGACUAAUCUGUCUGUUAAUCUCGCUGCUUUGUUCAAGUAUAUGAGGUGGCUAC